RNAcentral lists this long non-coding RNA (731 nucleotides) under Lepidothrix coronata (blue-crowned manakin). RNAcentral describes it as "lncRNA (ENSLCOG00000009132.1)". The record is from RNAcentral. Lineage: Eukaryota; Metazoa; Chordata; Aves; Passeriformes; Pipridae.
AUGGUCGGGUCCCAGGACAGCACUGGUGGGAGCAGGGACAUGGACAAGGGGAUGUCAUUCCACGUGAGGAGCGAAGAAUUCACGGAAAGAAGGUCCAGCUCUGGACCUGGAGGAAGCAGCACCCCUGCUCCAGAGACCCCACGUGCCGACGAGUCGGAGCCACGCCGGGACAGGGUCACUCCAGCCCACGAGGAUCAAACCAUCCCCACCACAGAUGGUCCCCAGGACUGGAGGCACAGUGAGCCUGGCCCAGGGGCAGCCAGGUCUGACUUCAGCUCCAGAGAGAGUGUUCUCAGUGCCCAUGAGAGCCAGCACCCUGUGCCCCUGUACCAGGACCCCCAGCCCUUCUUUGGGACAGCUCCCAGCCACAGGAUCCCGGCCUACGUGGACAGCCAAGUGUUCAGCACCAGGAGACCCACCCUGGAUCCCGAAGGGAGAGUUUCCGACGGUGCCAGGGGGCACGGGGAGUUCACCCCCCCGGCUGGGCGCCAUGACUCCCUUCCCAGGGAUCCCAGCAUGUCCAUGGCCCAGAGAAGCCACAGGGUGCCGUUCUACAUGGACAGCCUGAACUACAACAGCACCAGGCUCCUCUCCAGUUCCAGUGAGAGGCUCUCCAGCCCCGGGUUCCAUCCUGACUCCAGCACUGCCGGGUAAAGAGCCAAGGGGGCACAGAACCAUCCUGGGAGGGGGGGCAUCCCAGCCUUUGGCACCUGUGGCAGCAGGACCAGGGC